Molecule: long non-coding RNA, 1474 nt
Organism: Stomoxys calcitrans (stable fly)
Lineage: Eukaryota; Metazoa; Arthropoda; Insecta; Diptera; Muscidae
Exons: 6
Source: RefSeq, a predicted model, not a curated record
UGCAGGGCUGACUGGUUCCCCUCAACGAGGAUAAAUCCUGGUCAGCCCGUGGAGGGAAAGAAGACACCUUGGUGUACGGCACACAAAUAAAUACAUGAUUUUUUUCAUUGUGGAAAAUAUAAUUUUUGGCGUUUGUAUGGUUGUGCGUACGCACAGAAAAAAUCGUAGCGUGGCUUGAUACAUACGUACACCUCUAUAUAUAUGUGUGUGUAAAUGUACGUACAGGCACCAUUCACCACCAUUCAUCAAUGCCGUUGCCGUCCCAUAUCAUCGACCGAUGCAUAUGCCGUUAUCCCACGCAAAAAAAAAUGUACACACACUUGCAUGAAGUGUUUCGUUCCCCUUUUCACACCGAUGGGAACAUUGAAAACAUGAACAUGGCCGUGAGGCAAUUCAAUUGAAAAGAAAGUGAACUCGAGUUUAAAAAAAAAAUGGAAUAGUUUUUGCCGUACGGAGACAGCCUAAUUCUUCUUCAAUGCACAACCACACGCAACCUCCAAUCGAUGCCCCAGACUAAUGAACAAUUUCUGGCAAGGAAAUUCCGUCUGGCCAGGUAGUGUUAGAGACAUUUAGCAGUGGAAUAUGCAGCGUUUAGCAGAAUAAAAACAACAAUCUACCUGUGGCCUUACGCCAUUAAUUGGACAGCAAAACAUUCGCUGGACAUAAGUACUUGGUUUUAGCAUCGUUGAAGUGGUGUGACCUAACUUGAUGAUUAUUACAUCCACCCUGUUCAUAGACAACGUCUGACAGGUAGCAUCAGCUCGAGAUGGAUUGUGGACAACAAAAUUUCCUCUCAACACCUGAUCGUAAACAGUUGCAGCUCAAUGUGCCAUCCAAAACCCAUGAUUUUGUGACAAUUUAUGAAGGAGUGAAAUAAAUGGAAACAAAGACAACCCGCUACACAGGCCGUCGCACAAUCACACAAUUAUGGACAUCAAUUUUUACUGGAUUGAAGGCAUGUGGUCAAUAUAUCCCCACACUUUCUACCUGGCAUUGUAGUGAACUGGAUUUAUGUACGCCGAAAAGUUACGAGGCAUCAUAAAAAAAAGGACAACAGUGCUGGGGUAAUAAAAAUCGCCGUUUCAUCACCACAUAUUAGAAUGCUCCCUUGGCACUUCGGUUUCUACCACGAUACGGCUGGUUUCACCACAGUAUUAGCAAUUUCGGACUGUAUUUUGGCAUCAACAAUUCAUGGCAUUAAACUUAGCAAUUUUGGCAUCAAAGGUUAUGGCAUAAAACGUUAACCGACUUCCCCCCAGGCCAAUACUUGGAGGAGCCAGUAUUUUCUUCGACUUGGUUGUGGUUAGCUUUGAACUUGGCGAUAUCUUUAAGGAACAACAAAGAGAAAAAACAUUCACACACAUGCCUAACAUUUAAGCGUUAGUUAUAAUAACUUACAUUGUUUUGCACGCACAAAAUACAUAUGUAUAAGCAACACACAAUCAAUAAAAUAAACGUUCUGUUUACAAUUUAA